UAGAGUUUUCUAAACUCCCAACCCAUGUGAACUUACCUUUGUUGCCUCGGCAGAAGCUACCCGGUACCGACCACCUCGGUGCGAGUUACCCUGUAGCGGCUGCCGGUGGACCAUCAAACUCUUGUUAUUUUAUGGUUAUCUGAGCGUCUUAUUUUAAUAAGUCA
This 164-nucleotide unclassified non-coding RNA is filed under the name uncultured Pestalotiopsis. RNAcentral describes it as "sequence contains ITS1". The record is from RNAcentral. Lineage: Eukaryota; Fungi; Ascomycota; Sordariomycetes; Amphisphaeriales; Amphisphaeriaceae.